RNA transcript from Olea europaea var. sylvestris, 2198 nucleotides. It is a transcript of the gene named CBL-interacting serine/threonine-protein kinase 3-like, with no coding region annotated. The transcript is spliced from 17 exons. Lineage: Eukaryota; Viridiplantae; Streptophyta; Magnoliopsida; Lamiales; Oleaceae. The record is from RefSeq and is a predicted model, not a curated record.
UUUCCUUCUGUGUUGAGUUGAGAGGAAAACAACUUAAAAUCAGCUUAUUAUGAGGUCCAUUCCUCAUUAAUAGUUGCAAUUAUUGUGAACUCUUGAUUGAUCCUUGAAGCUAUUUUAACCUAUUCAAAUUCCAAGAGCAGCUCUGUUCUAAUGGCUUCAUCUUAGUUCAAAUUCAAGAACAUCCCUUUCUUCUUUCUUUAUCCCUCUUGAAAGUUUAGUAUUUAGCUUCCUUUUUUUCCCCCUGAAAUUUCAUUAUUAAAAUUCUCUCUCUCUCUCCAUAUUUUUUUUUGCUAAAGUUUAGAAUUUUCUUGCUGAUUUGGACUUGUAAAGAAUUGAUAUAAAUUGGGAUUCGAUUUGUUUUUUUGAGUUGAACUGCUGGUUUGUGCUAUGAUUUACUUGCUGGAUUUGCUGUCUGAAUUAUAGGAGUCGAUGGUACCCACCCCCACUAAACUCUUUAUUACUUUUUGUUAUGCAUUAAUUUAGUUUCUUGGGACUUGGGUUUCUUCAGAAAAAAUUCUUUUGGGAAGGAUACAGACGCAAAGUAUAAGACAACUAAGCAGGAAGGACGAAAACUAACGAGUAUAACACAGAAUGAGUCAACCCAAAGUUAAGCGCAGAAUUGGUAAAUAUGAGGUUGGAAGGACAAUUGGUGAGGGCACAUUUGCAAAAGUGAAAUUUGCUAAGAAUUCCGAGACUGGAGAACCCGUGGCUCUUAAGAUUCUUGAUAAGGAUAAGGUCCUUAAGAACAAAAUGUCCGAACAGAUAAAACGGGAAAUAGCAACAAUGAAAUUGAUAAAACAUCCUCACGUUGUUCGCUUGAAUGAGGUGAUGGCAAGCAAAACCAAGAUAUUUAUUGUUUUGGAGUUUGUCACCGGGGGAGAACUCUUCGACAAAAUUGUAAAUCAUGGUCGGAUGCAGGAGGACGCAGCACGGAAAUAUUUUCAGCAACUUAUUAAUGCUGUUGAUUAUUGCCAUAGUAGGGGAGUAUAUCACAGAGAUCUAAAACCGGAGAACUUGUUGUUGGAUGCUUCUGGAAACCUCAAAGUUUCUGAUUUUGGAUUGAGUGCUCUGUCCUGGCAAAUCAGGGACGAUGGUUUGCUUCAUACUACUUGUGGAACUCCAAACUAUGUUGCUCCUGAGGUCCUAAAUGAUCUAGGCUAUGAUGGAGCAACUGCGGACUUGUGGUCAUGUGGAGUCAUACUCUUUGUAUUGCUUGCCGGUUACUUGCCUUUUGAUGAUCCCAACCUUAUGAAUCUGUAUAAAAAAAUUUCUUUAGCCGAAUUCACUUGUCCACCAUGGCUUUCCUUAAGUGCAAGGAUAUUGAUUACUCGAAUCUUGGAUCCAAAUCCCAUGACCCGGAUCAUAAUCCCUGAAAUUUUGGAGGACGAGUGGUUUAAGAAAGAUUAUAAACCACCAGUAUUUGAUGAAAAUUACGAUACAAACUUGGAUGAUGUUGAAGCUGUAUUUAAAGACUCUGAGGAACAUCUUGUCACAGAGAAGAGGGAAGAGCAGCCAGCAGCAUUGAAUGCGUUUGAGUUAAUUUCAAUGUCAAGAGGUCUCAACCUUGGGAACCUGUUUGAUGGAGAACAGGAAUUCAAGAGGGAAACAAGGUUCUCGUCCAGAUGCCCAGCAAAUGAUAUAAUUAAUAAGAUUGAAGAAGCUGCUAAGCCUCUUGGUUUCGAUGUUCGAAAGAAGAACUACAAGAUGAGGCUAGAAAAUGUGAAAGCUGGAAGAAAAGGAAACCUUAAUAUUGCCACUGAGGUUUUCCAGGUUGCGCCUUCUCUGCAUAUGGUUGAGGUUAGAAAGGCAAAGGGAGACACGCUAGAGUUCCACAAGUUCUAUAAAAACCUUUCAACGAGCCUCGACGACGUAGUUUGGAAAACUGAAGAUGACAUGCAAGAGAAAAAGUAGUACCUUCUGUAGUGAAGAAAAUGAAACUCACUUCUGGCGUGGACUACUUAGAAAUCUUAUACAGAACUCGCUUCUUGAAUCUUGAGCACAAGUUUUUCUGGUUCAGUGCUGGAGAAAAUGUCGUCACACAUUGUUGGAUAAGAUUGAGCAGCCUAGAGAACCUCGACAUUUUCUUAGUAUAUUAAGGAUUGUAUUAUUUUAUGUUUAAGCUUGCGUUUGGCUGAGUGUAAUAAAUUGAAUAAUGAAUAAUUUUAAUACAAUAAGCGUUCUGAGUAAAUUUUACAAAA